AUUGAACGCUGGCGGCAGGCCUAACACAUGCAAGUCGAGCGAGAGGCGGACGGGUGAGUAAUGUAUGGGGAUGUGCCCGAGAGAUGGGGAUAAGUACUGGAAGCUGUGGCUAAUACCGCAUACUAUCGGAUGAACCCGAAUGGGAUUAGCGAGUAGGUGGGGUCAAGGCUCACAUAGGCGACGAUCUGUAGCUGGUCUGAGAGGAUGAUCAGCCACACGGGGACUGAGACACGGUCCAGACUCCUACGGGAGGCAGCAGUGGGGAAUAUUGCACAAUGGGCGAAAGCCUGAUGCAGCCAUGCCGCGUGUAUGAAGAAGGCCUUCGGGUUGUAAAGUACUUUCAGCGGGGAGGCGUUACCAGCAGAAGAAGCACCGGCUAACUCCGUGCCAGCAGCCGCGGUAAUUC
This 406-nucleotide ribosomal RNA is filed under the name uncultured bacterium. Its description in RNAcentral is "partial 16S ribosomal RNA". It matches the Rfam family "Bacterial small subunit ribosomal RNA", at positions 30 to 526 of the family's 1533-position model. The record is from RNAcentral.